AGAGUUUGAUCCUGGCUCAGGAUGAACGCUAGCGGUGUGCCUAAUGCAUGCAAGUCGAACGGGAACCUUUGGAUUCGUCUGAAGGGGAGAGUGGCGGACGGGUGAGUAACACGUAGGUGACCUACCCCGGAGAGGGGGAUAACCACUGGAAACGGUGGCUAAUACCCCAGAUGAUUAAGCUUCUGGAAAACUUUAUCUAAAGUUCAGGCGCUCCGGGAGGGGCCUGCGGCCCAUCAGCUUGUUGGUAAGGUAAUGGCUUACCAAGGCUAAGACGGGUAGGGGGCGUGAGAGCGUGACCCCCCACACUGGUACUGAGACACGGACCAGAUACCUGCGGGUAGCAGCAGCAAGGAAUAUUGCCCAAUGGACGAAAUUCUGAGGCAGCAACACCGCGUGGAGGAUGAAGGUUUUAGGAUCGUAAACUCCUUUUCUGAGGGAAUAGAAAGGAAGGUACCUCAGGAAUAAGUCUCGGCUAACUACGUGCGAGCAGCCGCGGUAAAACGUGGGAGGCGAGCGUUAUCCGGAUUUACUGGGCGUAAAGCGCAUGCAGGCGGUUUUUUAAGUCGGACGUGAAAGCUCCUGGCUCAACUGGGAGAGGCCGUUCGAAACUAGAAAACUUGAGGAUGGUAGAGGAGAGUGGAAUUCCCGGUGUAGUGGUGAAAUGCGUAGAUAUCGGGAGGAACACCAGUGGCGAAGGCGGCUCUCUGGGCCAUUCCUGACGCUCAGAUGCGAAAGCUAGGGGAGAGAACGGGAUUAGAAACCCCGGUAUUCCUAGCCGUAAACGAUGUCAACUAGGCGUGGGAGGUCAUUGACCCCUCCUGUGCUGUAGCUAACGCGUUAAGUUGACCGCCUGGGGACUACGGCCGCAAGGCUAAAACUCAAAGGAAUUGACGGGGACCCGCACAAGCAGCGGAGCGUGUGGUUUAAUUCGAGCAACGCGAAGAACCUUACCAGGGCUUGACAUAUAUGUGGUAGUGAUCUGAAAAGUGAACGACCCUUCGGGGAGCAUAUACAGGUGCUGCAUGGCUGUCGUCAGCUCGUGCCGUGAGGUGUUCGGUUAAGUCCGAUAACGAGCGCAACCCCCAUCGUUAGUUAUACGUGUCUAGCGAGACUGCCGGUGAUAAGCCGGAGGAAGGUGGGGAUGACGUCAAGUCAGCAUGGCCUUUAUGUCCUGGGCUACACACACGCUACAAUGGCCGGUACAAUGGGUUGCCAAGCCGCGAGGUGGAGCCAAUCCCUCAAAGCCGGUCUCAGUUCGGAUUGUAGGCUGCAACUCGCCUGCAUGAAGUCGGAGUUGCUAGUAAACGCGCGUCAGCACAGUGCGUUGAAUACGUUCCCGGGUCUUGUACACACCGCCCGUCACGUCAUGGAAGUUGGCAACGCCUAAAGUCGGUGAGCUAACCCUCACGGGGGGCAGCCGCCUAAGGCGGGGUCGGUAACUGGGACGAAGUCGAACAAGGUA
This 1462-nucleotide ribosomal RNA is filed under the name metagenome. RNAcentral's name for it is "bacterial SSU rRNA". It matches the Rfam family "Bacterial small subunit ribosomal RNA". The record is from RNAcentral.